CGCCCCCUCACCACGCGGCUCUGAGCGGGGAAGAGCUCAGCCCCCUCCGGAGCCACACGGCUGCCUCGCUGGGCAGGGCCGCUUCUCGAGGCGCGCAGUGAGCCGGGGGACACUUAUUACCAUCUUUAAGACCAUCUAAGAGACUGUCUGGCAAAUGAGGUUUCUUUCUAAAACCUCUCUCCAAUGAAAGGGAACAAGAGAUGUUAAAAUAAAAGUUUUACUGAAUACUUUAAA
Molecule: long non-coding RNA, 234 nt
Organism: Mauremys reevesii (Reeves's turtle)
Lineage: Eukaryota; Metazoa; Chordata; Testudines; Geoemydidae
Exons: 2
Source: RefSeq, a predicted model, not a curated record